This 306-nucleotide ribosomal RNA is filed under the name uncultured bacterium. Its description in RNAcentral is "bacterial SSU rRNA". It matches the Rfam family "Bacterial small subunit ribosomal RNA", at positions 28 to 333 of the family's 1533-position model. The record is from RNAcentral.
GACGAACGCUGGCGGCGUGCUUAACACAUGCAAGUCGAGCGAUGAAGCUCCUUCGGGAGUGGAUUAGCGGCGGACGGGUGAGUAACACGUGGGUAACCUGCCUCAUAGAGGGGAAUAGCCUUUCGAAAGGAAGAUUAAUACCGCAUAAGAUUGUAGUACCGCAUGGUACAGCAAUUAAAGGAGUAAUCCGCUAUGAGAUGGACCCGCGUCGCAUUAGCUAGUUGGUGAGGUAACGGCUCACCAAGGCGACGAUGCGUAGCCGACCUGAGAGGGUGAUCGGCCACAUUGGGACUGAGACACGGCCAG